RNAcentral lists this long non-coding RNA (610 nucleotides) under Homo sapiens (human). Its description in RNAcentral is "HSALNT0213769". Lineage: Eukaryota; Metazoa; Chordata; Mammalia; Primates; Hominidae. The record is from RNAcentral.
CUAAAUCUAUAGACUGGUGCAUAUGAGAAGAGAAGACACAAGAAAACACACAUGGAAGAGAGUGAUGAAGGCGAAGACCGGAGUGAUGUAGCUCCAAGCCACAGAAUGUCAGAGAUCGCCAGGAGCCACCUCCGGGAUAAGCAGAUGGAAAGGCAGCUCAACAUCUGAGAAGCCAGUCUUACUCCCUGCAGGCAACAGCUGCUUCCAGAAAACAGCCCUAUUACUUCACCAAAGUACAGUUCCUACAGGAAGAUAAUGAUCUGACCUAACCUACUAUUGGCUGAAGGAAGGAGAAAAGCAGCUGAAGAUGUCUGUUGAGUGAUUACCCUCAUAAUCCGUGACUAAGAACAUCCAAAUCAGCAUGGCUUCUUCCUGUCUGAAAUUAUUACUACUUAGGGUUUUUCACGUGUUAUUUCAUUUAUUGAUUAUUCUGUUUUAAACUUGCAAGACGUAUUGUCUCUUCAGAAAUAAAACUUUAUCACUUGCUUCAUCAAUUCAAUUAAUUUCACAAUGCAUUGAUUAAACUCCUACGUAAGCAUUUCAGCAUUUUAAAACAUUUUUAAAAAGGUAAAAUCAGGACUGUCAUGUGAAUGAUAUGCCAAAGGUUUUA